GAUGAAGAACGCAGCGAAAUGCGAUAAGUAAUGCGAAUUGCAGAAUUUCCGUGAGUCAUCGAGUCUUUGAACGCACAUUGCGCCCCCUGGUAUUCCGGGGGGCAUGCCUGUCCGAGCGUCAUUGCUGCCCUCAAGCACGGCUUGUGUGUUGGGCCUCCGUCCUCCUCCCGGGGGACGGGCCCGAAAGGCAGCGGCGGCACCGCGUCCGGUCCUCGAGCGUAUGGGGCUUCGUCACCCGCUCUUGUAGGCCCGGCCGGCGCUUGCCGACACAUCAAUCUUUUUUCCAGGUUGACCUCGGAUCAGGUAGGGAUACCCGCUGAACUUAAGCAUAUCAAUAAGCGGAGGA
RNAcentral lists this unclassified non-coding RNA (346 nucleotides) under soil metagenome. Its description in RNAcentral is "partial contains 5.8S ribosomal RNA, internal transcribed spacer 2, and large subunit ribosomal RNA". The stretch from base 1 to 121 matches the Rfam family "5.8S ribosomal RNA", at positions 35 to 154 of the family's 154-position model. The record is from RNAcentral.